This 1280-nucleotide ribosomal RNA is filed under the name Ochthebius magnannulatus. RNAcentral's name for it is "16S ribosomal RNA". The stretch from base 597 to 1280 matches the Rfam family "Archaeal large subunit ribosomal RNA", at positions 1423 to 2806 of the family's 2987-position model. The record is from RNAcentral. Lineage: Eukaryota; Metazoa; Arthropoda; Insecta; Coleoptera; Hydraenidae.
AUAGAAUAAAUUAUUUUAAUAUUUUUUAAAUAAAGUAUUAUUUUGUUUUAUUAUAAUAAUAGAAAAAAUUUUUUUAAUUAUAAAUUAAAGUAUAGUGAUAGAAUUUUUAAAUAUUAUGAAAAUUUUAAAUUUUUAAAAGAAUAAUUUAUUUUUAGUACCUUGUGUAUCAGGGUUUAUCAAAAAUAUUUUAUAUAUUUUAAAUAUCUCGAUUUUAAAAGAGUUAAAUAUUUAUAUUUUUUAAUGUUAAAUAAUUAUUGUUAAUAAAUAUUUAGUAAUGAAAUGUUAUUCGUUUUUAAAUAUAUCUAGUUUUUUAAGAAAUAAAUUUAAUUUAUUUAUUGAUAAAAAUGAUUUUUAUUUAGUAAAAUUUUUUUAUUAAUAAAAAAUAUUUUAAGGGAUAAGCUUUAAAAUAAAUUUAUAUAAUAUUUUUAAUUAAAAUUAAAUGUAGGAUUAAAAAUUUCUUUCAAUAAUAAUUUGUUAUAAUUAAUUUUUUAUAAUUAUUUUUUAUAUAAUAUUUAUAUUAUUUAUUAAAAUUAUUUAUUUAAUUUAAUAAUAUUUGUAAUAAUGAUAAAAUUAGUAUAAAUUUUUGUAAAAUUAAUUAUUUAAUAAAGGUUAAUUUAAGGAAUUCGGCAAAUUAAUUUUUCGCCUGUUUAUUAAAAACAUGUCUUUUUGAUAAUAAUUUAAAGUCUAACCUGCCCAAUGAUAUAUUUAAUGGCCGCGGUAUUUUGACCGUGCAAAGGUAGCAUAAUCAUUAGUUUUUUAAUUGAAAGCUGGAAUGAAUGGUUGAACGAGAAAAUUACUGUCUCAAUUUAAUUUAAUUAGAAUUUUAUUUUUAAGUUAAAAAGCUUAAAUAUUUUUAAAAGACGAGAAGACCCUAUAGAGUUUAAUAUUUUAUAUAAUUUAAAUUUUUAUAAUUAUAUAAAUUUUAUAAAAUAUUUUAUUGGGGUGAUAAAUAAAUUUAUUAAACUUUAUUUUUAUUUUUACAUUAAUUUAUGAUUUAUUGAUCCAUUAUUUAUGAUUAAAAGAUUAAAUUACCUUAGGGAUAACAGCGUAAUUUUUUUAGAGAGUUCAAAUCGAAAAAAAAGAUUGCGACCUCGAUGUUGGAUUAAAGUUAAUUUUUGGUGUAGAAGCUAAAAAAUUAAGUCUGUUCGACUUUUAAAACUUUACAUGAUCUGAGUUUAAACCGGUGUGAGCCAGGUUGGUUUCUAUCUUUAAAUAAAUAUAAUAUUUUAGUACGAAAGGACCAAAUAUUAGUAAAAUUUAUUUUUUUUAUGAAUAUUAUU